UGUCCAAUGCGGGGAUCGAACCCGGGUCGUAGUGGUCGUAAACCAAUUAAUAAUUAACCACAAUUUAUAUAUAAAAUUGUAC
Non-coding RNA from Cordylochernes scorpioides, 82 nucleotides. The record is from the annotation of a GenBank genome assembly. Lineage: Eukaryota; Metazoa; Arthropoda; Arachnida; Pseudoscorpiones; Chernetidae.